Molecule: ribosomal RNA, 497 nt
Filed under: uncultured bacterium
Lineage: Bacteria
Description: partial 16S ribosomal RNA
Rfam family: Bacterial small subunit ribosomal RNA
Source: RNAcentral
GAUGAACGCUGGCGGCGUGCCUAAUACAUGCAAGUCGAGCGAACGGACGAGAAGCUUGCUUCUCUGAUGUUAGCGGCGGACGGGUGAGUAACACGUGUAUAACCUACCUAUAAGACUGGGAUAACUUCGGGAAACCGGAGCUAAUACCGUAUAAUAUUUUGAACCGCAUGGUUCAAAAGUGAAAGACGGUCUUGCUGUCACUUAUAGAUGGAUCCGCGCUGCAUUAUCUAGUUGGUAAGGUAACGGCUUACCAAGGCAACGAUGCAUAGCCGACCGGAGGGGGUGAUAGGCCACACUGGAACUGGAACACGGUCCAGACUCCUAAGGGAGGCAGCAGUAGGGAAUCUUACGCAACGGGCGAAAGCCUGACGGAGCAACGGCGAGUGAGUGAUGAAGGUCCUCGGAUCGUAAAACUCUGUUAUUAGGGAAGAACAUAUGUGUAAGUAACUGUGCACAUCUUGACGGUACCUAAUCAGAAAGCCACGGCUAACUACGUG